GCCUCCUUAGCUCAGUUGGCCAGAGCACCUGUCUUGUAAACAGGGGGUCGCCGGUUCGAAUCCGGCAGGGGGCUCCA
Molecule: transfer RNA, 77 nt
Filed under: Renibacterium salmoninarum
Lineage: Bacteria; Bacillati; Actinomycetota; Actinomycetes; Micrococcales; Micrococcaceae
Also listed under: 80 other names
Description: tRNA-Thr
Rfam family: tRNA
About the family: Transfer RNA (tRNA) molecules are approximately 80 nucleotides in length. Their secondary structure includes four short double-helical elements and three loops (D, anti-codon, and T loops).
Source: RNAcentral